This 448-nucleotide ribosomal RNA is filed under the name uncultured bacterium. RNAcentral describes it as "partial 16S ribosomal RNA". It matches the Rfam family "Bacterial small subunit ribosomal RNA", at positions 330 to 794 of the family's 1533-position model. The record is from RNAcentral.
UCCAGACUCCUACGGGAGGCAGCAGUGGGGAAUAUUGCACAAUGGGGGGAACCCUGAUGCGGCGACGCCGCGUGGGUGAAGGAGCGUUUCGGCGCGUAAAGCCCUAUCGGCAGGGAAGAAGGAGGACGGUACCUGACUAAGAAGCCCCGGCUAACUACGUGCCAGCAGCCGCGGUAAUACGUAGGGGGCAAGCGUUAUCCGGAUUUACUGGGUGUAAAGGGGGCGCAGACGGCAGCGCAAGCCAGGAGUGAAAGCCCGGGGCCCAACCCCGGGACUGCUCUUGGAACUGCGCGGCUGGAGUGCAGGAGGGGCAGGCGGAAUUCCUGGUGUAGCGGUGAAAUGCGUAGAUAUCAGGAGGAACACCGGUGGCGAAGGCGGCCUGCUGGACUGCGACUGACGUUGAGGCCCGAAAGCGUGGGGAGCAAACAGGAUUAGAUACCCCAGUAAC